RNAcentral lists this ribosomal RNA (342 nucleotides) under Triticum aestivum (bread wheat). RNAcentral's name for it is "partial small subunit ribosomal RNA". Lineage: Eukaryota; Viridiplantae; Streptophyta; Magnoliopsida; Poales; Poaceae. The record is from RNAcentral.
GCGUUCCUUGAGAAGGGUGUCCUCUCUGUCCCUGAGUUCAUCCUCGCCGGCGACAAGCUCGUAUCCAAGUGCCCCACCUGGUCCUGGGAGGCGGGCGAUCCGAGCAAGAGGAAGCCAUACCUCCCCUCUGAUAAGCAGUUCCUUGCCACCAGGAAUGUGCCCUGCCUAAGACGAGCUGUGGCGGUCGAGGAAGAGUAUGAUGUAGCGGGAGCUGAGGUUGUUCUCGAUGACGAUGAGGAUGGCGAAGGAUGGCUCGCAACACAUGGGCUGCAACCGUCAGAAUCAAAAGAGGAGGAAGACAUACCGUCUAUGGAUACAUUGGACAUAGGGAAAGUCAAAUGA